Molecule: long non-coding RNA, 4541 nt
Organism: Esox lucius (northern pike)
Lineage: Eukaryota; Metazoa; Chordata; Actinopteri; Esociformes; Esocidae
Source: Ensembl
CCUCUGUAGUAACAUUUAAUGCCAGUUCCUGAUAAUCGUUUGAGUUAGGGUCUGAAUACGCUUCUAGGAAUGUACGGUUCAUUUUGAAUCCUAAUCCAAGUGAACCUUCAUUUCCAAUUGGUGAUGCAGCUGAGUAUAUAGUUGCUAAUGAUGCUGUUGUUGUUUUUAUAGUGGUUGUUGUGGCUGCGGCCGUGGUUGUUGUUUGAGUACUAGUGCUUGUUGUAGCAGCUUCAGUAGUUGUUGUGGGUGCAGCUGUGGAUGUUGUAUGAGCAGCUGUGGUAGUUGUGGUUUCUGCCGUGGUUGUUGUGGCUGCUGUCGUGGUUGUUGUGCUUGCUGUCGUGGUUGUUGUGGGGAUUGGUGUUGUCGUGGGAGCAGGUGUUGUAGUUGUGGUUUCUGCCGUGGUUGUUGUGGCUGCUGCCGUGGUUGUUGUGCUUGCUGUCGUGGUUGUCGUGGGAGCUGCAACUGUUGUCGUGGGAGCAGCCAUUGUAGUUGUUGUGUCUGCCGUGGUUGUUGUGGCUGCUCCGGUGGUUGUUGUGCUUGCUGUCGUGGUUGUUGUGGGGAUUGGUGUUGUCGUGGGAGCAGGUGUUGUAGUUAUGGUUUCUGCUGUGGUUGUUGUGGCUGCUCUGGUGGUUGUUUUUGCUGCUGCCGUAGUGGUAGUUGGAGAACCUGUUGUUGUGGGUAAAGCCGUGGUUGUUGUGGGUGCAGCCGUGGUUGUUGUUUGAAUAGUAGUGCUUGUGGUAGCAGCUUCAGGAGUUGUCGUGGGUGCCACUGUGGAUGAUGUUGGAGCAGCUGUGUCAGUUGUGGUUUCUGCCGUAGUUGUUGUGGCUGCUGCCGUGAUUGUUGUGGGAGCAGCUGUUGUAGUUGUGGGUACUGCCGUGGUUGUUGUGGAUAUGUCCAUUGUAGUUUCUGCCGUGGGUGUUGUGGCUGCUGCUGUGGUUGUUGUGGGUACUGCCGUGGUUGUUGUGGGUGCGGCCGUGGUAGUUGUGGCUGCUCCGGUGGUUGUUGUUGCUGCUGCCGUAGAUGUAGUGGGAGCACCUGUUGUUGUAGUGGGAGCACCUGUUGUUGUUGUGGGUAAUGCUGUGAUUGUUGUGGGUGCGGCCGUGGUUGUUGUUUGAGUAGUAGUGCUUGCUGUAGCAGCUUCAGUAGUGGUUGUGGGUGCACCUGUGGAUGUUGUGCUUGUUGUCGUGGUUGUGGAUGGAGCUGCAACUGUUGUCGUGAGAGCAGCCGUUGUAGUUAUGGAUUCUGCUGUGGUUGUUGUGGCUGCUCCGGUGGUUGUUUUUGCUGCUGCCGUAGUGGUAGUGGGAGCACCUGUUGUUGAUGUGGGUAAAGCCGUGGUUGUUGUGGGUGCAGCUGUGGUUGUUGUUUGAAUAGUAGUGCUUGUGGUAGCAGCUUCAGUAGUUGUCGUGGGUGCACCUGUGGAUGAUGUUGGAGCAGCUGUGUCAGUUGUGGUUUCUGCCGUGGUUGUUGUGGCUGCUGCCGUGGUCGUUGUGGGAGCAGCCGUUGUAGUUGUGGGUACUGCCGUGGUUGUUGUGGGAGCGGCCGUUGUAGUUUCUGCCGUGGAUGUUGUGGCUGCUGCCGUGGUUGUUGUGGGUACUGCCGUGGUUGUUGUGGGUGCGGCCGUGGUAGUUGUGGAUUCUGAAGUGGUUGUUGUGGCUGCUCCGGUGGUUGUUGUUGCUGCUGCCGUAGAUGUAGUGGGAGCACCUGUUGUUGUAGUGGGAGCACCUGUUGUUGUUGUGGGUAAUGCUGUGGUUAUUGUGGGUGCGGCCGUGCUUGUUGUUUGCGUAGUAUUGCUUGUUGUAGCAGCUUCAGGAGUUGUCGUGGGUGCACCUGUGGAUGUUGUUAGAGCAGCUGUGUUAGUUGUGGUUUCUGCCGUGGAUGCUGCCGUGGUUGUUGUGCUUGCUGACGUGGUUGUAGUCAGAGCUGGUGUUGUCGUGGUAGCAGCCGUUGAAGUUGUGGGUACUGCCGUGGUUGUUGUGGGUGAGGCCGUGGUAGUUGUGGUUUCUGCCGUGGUUGUUGUGGCUGCUGCCGUGGUUGUUGUGGCUGCUCCGGUGGUUGUUGUUGCUGCUGCCGUAGUAGAAGUGGCAGCACCAGUUGUUGCAGUGGGGAAAGCCAUGGUUGUGGUGGGUGCGUCCGUGGUUGUUGUUUGACUAGUAGUGCUUGUUGUAGCAGCUUCAGGAGAUGUCGUGGGUGCACCUGUGGAUGUUGUUGGAGCAGCUGUGUUAGUUGUGGUUUCUGCCGUGGUUGUUGUGGCUGCUGCCAUGGUUGUUGUGCUUGCUGUCGUGGUUGUUGAGGGGGUUGGUGUUGUCGUGGGAGCAGGUGUUGUAGAUGUGGUUUCUGCCGUGGUUGUUGUGGCUGCUCCUGUGGUUGUUGUUGCUUCUGCCGUAGUUGUAGUGGGAGCACCUGUUGAUGUUGUGGGUAAUGCUGUGGUUGUUGAGGAUUCUGCCGUGGUUCUUGUUUGCAUAGUAGUGCUUGUUGUAGCAGCUUCAAGAGUUAUCGUGGGUGCACCUGUGGAUGUUGUUGGAGCAGCUGUGUUAGUUGUGGUUUCUGCCGUGGAUGUUGUGGCUGCUCCUGUGGUUGUUGUAGCUUCUGCCGUAGUUGUAGUGGGAGCACCUGUUGUUGUUGUGGGUAAAGCCGUGGUUGUUGUGGAAGCGGUAGUGGUAGUUGUUUGAGUAGUAGUGCUUGUUGUAGCAGCUUCAGUAGUUGUUGUGGGUGCACCUGUGGAUGUUGUUGGAACAGCUGUGUUAGUUGUGGUUUCUGCCGUGGAUGUUGUGGCUGCUGCCGUGGUUGUUGUGGGUGCGGCCGUGGUAGUUGUGGAUUCUGACGUGGUUGUUGUGGCUGCUCCGGUGGAUAUUGUUGCUGCUGCCGUAGUUGUAGUCGGAGAACCUGUUGUUGUUGUGGGUAAAGCCGUGGUUGUUGUGGGUGUGGUAGUGGUUGAGGUUUGAGUAGUAGUGCUUGCUGUAGCAGCUUCAGUAUUUGUUGUGGGUGGAACUGGGGAUGUUGUUGGAGCAGCUGUGGUGGUUGUGGUUUCUGCCUUGGUUGUUGUGGCUGCUCCAGUGGUUGUUGUUGCUUCUGCCGUAGUUGUAGUAGGAGCACCUGUUGUUGUUGUGGUUUCUGCCGUGGUUGCUGUGGCUGCUGCCGUGGUUGUUGUGCUUGCUGUCGUGGUUGUUGUGGGGGUUGGUGUUGUCGUGGGAGCAGCCGUGGAAGUUGUGGGUACUGACGUGGUUGUUGUGGGUGCGGCCGUGGUAGUUGUGGAAUCUGAUGUGGUUGUUGUGGCUGCUCCGGUGUUUGUUGUUGCUGCUGCCGUAGUUGUAGUGGGAGCACCUGUUGUUGUUGUGGUUUCUGCCGUGGUUGCUGUGGCUGCUGCCGUGGAUGUUGUGCUUGCUGUCGUGGUUGUUGUGAGGGUUGGUGUUGUCGUGGGAGCAGGUGUUGUAGUUGUGGUUUCUGCCGUGGUUGUUGUGGCUGCUCCAGUGGUUGUUGUUGCUUCUGCCGUAGUUGUAGUGGGAGCACCUGUUGUUGUUGUGGGUAAUGCGGUGGUUGUUGUGGGUGCGGUAGUGGUUGUUGUUUGAGUAGUAGUGCUUGUUGUAGCAGCUUCAGUAGUUGUUGUGGGUGCACCUGUGGAUGUUGUUGGAGCAGCUGUGUUAGUUGUGGUUUCUGCCGUGGUUGUUGUGCUUCCUGUCGUGGUUGUUGUGGGGGUUGGUGUUGUCGUGGGAGCAUCUGUGGUAGUUGUGGUUUCUGACGUGGUAGUUGUGGCUGCUGCCGUGGUUGUUGUGCUUGCUGUCGUGGUUGUUGUGGGGGCUGCAACUGUUGUCGUGGGAGCAGGUGUUGUAGUUGUGGUUUCUGCCGUGGUUGUUGUGGCUGCUCCAGUGGUUGUUGUUGCUUCUGCCGUAGUUGUAGUGGGAGCACCUGUUGUUGUUGUGGGUAAUGCUGUGGUUGUUGUGGGUGUGGCCGUGGUUGUUGUUUGCCUAGUAGUGCUUGUUGUAGUAGCGUCAGGAGAUGUCGUGGGUGCACCUGUGGAUGUUGUUGGAGCAGCUGUGUUAGUUGUGGUUUCUGCCGUGGAUGUUGUGGCUGCUGCCGUGGUUGUUGUGAGAGCUGGUGUUGUUGUGGUAGCAGCCGUGGAAGAUGUGGGUAGUGCUGUGGUUGUUGUGGGUGCGGCAGUGGUAGUUGUGGAAUCUGAUGUGGUUGUUGUGGCUGCUGCCGUGGUUGUUGUUGCUGCUGCCGUAGUUGUAGUGGGAGCACCUGUGGAUGUUGUUGGAGCAGCUGUGUUAGUUGUGGUUUCUGCCAUGGUAGUUGUGGCUGCUGCCGUGGUUGUUGUGCUUCCUGUCGUGGUUGUUGUGGGGGUUGGUGUUGUCGUGGGAGCAUCUGUGGUAGUUGUGGUUUCUGCCGUGGUAGUUGUGGCUGCUGCCGUGGUUGUUGUGCUUGCUGUCGUGGGAGUAGCCGUUGUAGUUGUGGUUGUUGUUUGAGUAGUAGUGCUUGUUGUAGCAGCUCCAAUAGUUGUUGUGGGUGCACCUGUGGAUGUUGUUGGAGCAGCUGUGGUGAUUGUG